UGGGGAAUAUUGGACAAUGGGGGCAACCCUGAUCCAGCAAUGCCGCGUGUGUGAAGAAGGUCUUCGGAUUGUAAAGCACUUUCGACGGGGACGAUGAUGACGGUACCCGUAGAAGAAGCCCCGGCUAACUUCGUGCCAGCAGCCGCGGUAAUACGAAGGGGGCUAGCGUUGCUCGGAAUGACUGGGCGUAAAGGGCGUGUAGGCGGUUUACACAGUCAGAUGUGAAAUCCCCGGGCUUAACCUGGGAGCUGCAUUUGAUACGUGUAGACUAGAGUGUGAGAGAGGGUUGUGGAAUUCCCAGUGUAGAGGUGAAAUUCGUAGAUAUUGGGAGGAACACCGGUGGCGAAGGCGGCAACCUGGCUCAUGACUGACGCUGAGGCGCGAAAGCGUGGGGAGCAAACAGGAUUAGAUACCCUGGUAGUCC
This 424-nucleotide ribosomal RNA is filed under the name uncultured bacterium. RNAcentral describes it as "partial 16S ribosomal RNA". It matches the Rfam family "Bacterial small subunit ribosomal RNA", at positions 355 to 796 of the family's 1533-position model. The record is from RNAcentral.